Molecule: non-coding RNA, 406 nt
Organism: Cucurbita pepo subsp. pepo (vegetable marrow)
Lineage: Eukaryota; Viridiplantae; Streptophyta; Magnoliopsida; Cucurbitales; Cucurbitaceae
Source: RefSeq, a predicted model, not a curated record
AAAAGAAAAGAAAAAGAGAGAGAGAAUGGAGAAAGGGAAGAAGUUAGGGUUUGGGAGAGAGGAAGAAGAGAGAUGACAAAUCGCCAUUGGAGAUCGAAUCCAAGGCAAGAAACUUCGAAGCAAUACUUCUCUCAGUGCUGGAAAAGGAGUUCGGGUAGUGGAAUCCACUCAUUCCGGCAAGAAAAUCCGAGAACGGACAAAGUUUCCUGGAGUUCCUGGAUGGGAAUCGGACGAAAAUCGGAGUUUAGUCGGAUUUGGUAAACCGAUCGAAAGCAGAAAAUGAGAGAGAAGGCAUCGCCGCCACACGUCGGCCGCCGUACGGAGGAGAGCGGUAGGACCGACGACCGACACGUGGCGACCGCGGGCUGGAGAAACGCAUCAGGCGUGCGCAACCGGGUUGGANCGA